RNAcentral lists this long non-coding RNA (1467 nucleotides) under Corvus moneduloides (New Caledonian crow). Its description in RNAcentral is "lncRNA (ENSCMUG00000018815.1)". The record is from RNAcentral. Lineage: Eukaryota; Metazoa; Chordata; Aves; Passeriformes; Corvidae.
AAAAGCCUGCUACUGGUCAGGGAAAGUAGCAGUGUAGAAUGCCAAGGGAGUGAGCUCAGCUCCUAAACACGGGAGGUCUUCCAGUGGAGAGAAGUGCAUAAUUACUGCAACUGACACUUCUUGUUGUAUCUCCAUGCUAUAUCAGGCGCUGGAAGAUCCAGGCAAGAAGCCAGACUGUGACUGUUCCCCUGUGACUGUUUACUUCAAGUGAGGCUGGAAGCAUCUUUUGGAAAUUCCCCAAAGGCUCAACAGCAUGAGAACAUGACGUAUCCUUGUGUUGUCAGCAAACCUCGCUGGUCUGGAAGGAGUGGAGAUGAGUUGCCAAUUGCUGUUUCUCAUCUCGUGGGCUUGAAGAGCUGUUUCUCACUCACACUGGCCUGAAGCCUGUAACCACUCAUUCCUGGGGUAACCACAAGAGGAUUUUCCAGAGCAGAGGCCGCUAAAACACUGUCUAUAGUGCUUGAGGAAAGCUUCAGAAUGGGAAUCUAGGAUGAAGCCUGAUCCUCCAUCUGCUUUAGUAACAAUGUCUCGAGCUGGGAAGUAAAAUGCAUGCAAUUCAUAAAUUUAAAUAUACCGAUAUUUUUUCUUGCUUUUAGUUCUGAGAACAAAGGACUAGUUCAUGGUGAGGAGUGAACUCAAAACACUGAUAUAUAGACUACAAACUUUGGUUUAAUCAUCUCUGUUAAUCAACAGAACAACCUUUGUAAAUUCAACUGUGUAAAAAUCAACCUUGUUCACGUCUCCCUAGCAUCCCUUCAGCCCACUUCCUGGAUUAGCUUCUAUUCAUUCAGCUGUUAGUCUGCUUUGAGGUAUUAAAGUAACUUUGAGCUAUUCUGUAAAGAAGGAAGUAGGCAGGCUCCCCUGCAGUGUGACAGUGGGAAAGGACUGAAAAGAGAUGAACGUGCAAGUUCUGCUGGUUUUGAAGACAGACUUUUUUUCUUCAUGUUAUGUGUUAAGUACUUAAGAUGGUAAGUUGGCAGAUACACGUUAGCUUCAAUGACAUGGAAUUGUACAUCUUGUACAAUCUGGCCCUGAGACUGUCAGCACUGAAAAAUCUCAUUGUGACAGAGCUGCAAUAGUCAGAAAAUGUAUUUCCUUUUCCCUAGUUAUGACUCUCAGCAGUCUGAUCUUUGGUAAAUGUCAAGUGUGGGUUUAAUUCUGAGUUUCCUGGCUCUCAUGUACCUUCCACUUUAACCAGCACCAGACAUGACUGCUGGUAUACUUUUAUCGUGUGCUAAAAAUAAGGCACUGAUAAAAGGGACCAUAGUACACACUUAGAGACUCGCCCUAAAUACUACAGGCAAACUUAAUCUUUUUGCUGAUAACGCAGUUCAUAAGGAAUAAAGAUGUGGUCUACAAUGUGUAGACUACAGUGGUGGGGGUGCCAGCACUGCAGGACCUCCUCAUUCUGGUGAGGAAGAGAAGGGAAAUUAAGUUCAAAGAUCUGGCUGUCCACCUGUGGACAAA